GUAGGUGGCAAGCGUUGUCCGGAAUUAUUGGGCGUAAAGCGCGCGCAGGCGGUCCUUUAAGUCUGAUGUGAAAGCCCACGGGCUCAACCGUGGAGGGUCAUUGGAAACUGGGGGACUUGAGUACAGAAGAGGAAAGCGGAAUUCCAAGUGUAGCGGUGAAAUGCGUAGAGAUUUGGAGGAACGCCAGUGGCGAAGGCGGCUUUCUGGUCUGUAACUGACGCUGAGGCGCGAAAGCGUGGGGAGCAAACAGGAUUAGAUACCCUGGUAGUCCACGCCGUAAACGAUGAGUGCUAAGUGUUAGGGGGUUUCCGCCCCUUAGUGCUGCAGCUAACGCAUUAAGCACUCCGCCUGGGGAGUACGGCCGCAAAGGCUGA
Molecule: ribosomal RNA, 374 nt
Filed under: uncultured organism
Description: partial 16S ribosomal RNA
Rfam family: Bacterial small subunit ribosomal RNA
Source: RNAcentral